Non-coding RNA from Salmo salar (Atlantic salmon), 54 nucleotides. NCBI's taxonomy places the organism in Eukaryota, Metazoa, Chordata, Actinopteri, Salmoniformes, Salmonidae. The record is from Rfam.
UACACUCACUACUGUAAGUCGCUCUGGAUAAGAGCGUCUGCUAAAUCACUAAAA